AUGCUUAGCCUCGUCCACCCCAGCUGUAAAACUCAGAAACCAGUCUUACUUGUUAUCAUCUAUCGUCCACCUGGGCCUUACACAGAGUUUCUCUCUGAUUUCUCAGACUUUUUAUCUGAUUUAGUGCUCAGCUCAGAUAAAAUAAUUAUUGUGGGUGAUUUUAAUAUCCAUGUAGAUGCUAAAAAUGACAGCCUCAACAUCGCAUUUAAUCUGUUAUUAGACUCAUUUGGCUUCUCUCAAAAUGUAAAAGAACCCACCCACCACUUUAAUCACACUCUAGAUCUUGUUUUAACAUAUGGCAUAGAAACUGAACAUUUAACAGUGUUUCCUGAAAACCCUCUGCUGUCUGAUCAUUUCCUGAUAACAUUUACAUUUACAAUAAUUGAUUACACAGCAGUGGAGAGUAGACUUUAUCAAAGUAGAUGUCUUUCUGAAAGUGCUGUAACUAAGUUUAAGAAUAUAAUCCACCCACUGUUAUCAUCUUCAAUGCCCUGUACCAACAUAGAGCAGAGCAGCUAUCUGAACGCUACUCCAACAGAGGUCGAUUAUCUUGUUAAUAAUUUUACCUCCUCACUACGUACGACUCUGGAUACUGUAGCUCCUGUGAAAACUAAGGCCUCAAAUCCAAAGUCCCUGACUCCGUGGUAUAAUUCUCAAACACGUAGCCUAAAGCAGAUAACUCGUAAGCUGGAGAGGAAAUGGCGUGUCACAAAUUUAGAGGAUCAUCAUUUAGCCUGGAGAAAUAGUUUGCUGCUUUAUAAGAAAGCCCUCCGCAAAGCCAGAACAUCUUACUAUUCGUCACUGAUUGAAGAAAAUAAGAACAACCCCAGGUUUCUCUUCAGCACUGUAGCCAGGCUGACAAACAGUCAGAGCUCUACUGAGCCAACCAUCCCUUUAACGUUAACUAGUAAUGACUUCAUGAACUUCUUCACAAAUAAAAUUUUUAUCAUUAGAGAAAAAAUUACCAAUAAUCAUCCCACAGAUGUAAUAUUAUCUACAGCUACUUUUAGUACCAUUGAUGUUAAGUUAGACUCUUUUUCUCCAAUUGAUCUUUCUGAGUUAACUUCAAUAAUUAAUUCCUCCAAACCAUCAACGUGUCUUUUAGACCCCAUUCCUACAAAACUGCUCAAAGAAGUCCUGCCAUUAAUUAAUGCUUCAAUCUUAAAUAUGAUCAACCUAUCUCUAAUAAUCGGCUAUGUACCACAGGCC
RNAcentral lists this long non-coding RNA (1209 nucleotides) under Oreochromis niloticus (Nile tilapia). RNAcentral describes it as "lncRNA (ENSONIG00000031148.1)". The record is from RNAcentral. Lineage: Eukaryota; Metazoa; Chordata; Actinopteri; Cichliformes; Cichlidae.